AUCUUUUUUAUUAAUAUGAACUUUUAAAAAAAAUUAUGCUGUUAUCCCUAAGGUAAUUAAUUUAAAAUUUAAAAGUUUUAGAUUUUUGGUUCAAAAAUUAUUGUUUAAGUUUUAAAAAAAUUUAAUAAAUUUUUUAAUUACCCCAAUUAAAUUUUUUUUAAAUUUAAAAUAUAAAUAAUAAUAAUUUUUUAUAUUUAAUUAAAAUAAAAUUCUAUAGGGUCUUGUCGUCUUUUUAAAAUAUUUAAGUUUUUUAACUUAAAUAAAAAUUUAAAUAAUUUUAAAUUGAUAUAGUUUAUAUUUCAUUAAAUCUUUUAUACUAGUUUUUAAUUAAAAAACAAAUUAUUAUGCUACCUUUGUACAGUUAUUAAUUCUGCAGCCAUUUAAAAUUAAUCAGU
RNAcentral lists this ribosomal RNA (395 nucleotides) under Opius bellus. Its description in RNAcentral is "partial 16S ribosomal RNA". The record is from RNAcentral. Lineage: Eukaryota; Metazoa; Arthropoda; Insecta; Hymenoptera; Braconidae.